Molecule: ribosomal RNA, 468 nt
Filed under: uncultured bacterium
Lineage: Bacteria
Description: partial 16S ribosomal RNA
Rfam family: Bacterial small subunit ribosomal RNA
Source: RNAcentral
GACGAACGCUGGCGGCGUGCUUAACACAUGCAAGUCGAACGGAAAGGCCCUGCUUUUGUGGGGUGCUCGAGUGGCGAACGGGUGAGUAACACGUGAGUAACCUGCCCUUGACUUUGGGAUAACUUCAGGAAACUGGGGCUAAUACCGGAUAGGAGCUCCUGCUGCAUGGUGGGGGUUGGAAAGUUUCGGCGGUUGGGGAUGGACUCGCGGCUUAUCAGCUUGUUUGUGGGGUAGUGGCUUACCAAGGCUUUGACGGGUAGCCGGCCUGAGAGGGUGACCGGCCACAUUGGGACUGAGAUACGGCCCAGACUCCUACGGGAGGCAGCAGUGGGGAAUAUUGCACAAUGGGCGGAAGCCUGAUGCAGCAACGCCGCGUGCGGGAUAACGGCCUUCGGGUUGUAAACCGCUUUCGCCUGUGACGAUGCGUGAGUGACGGUAAUGGGUAAAGAAGCACCGGCUAACUACGUG